RNAcentral lists this unclassified non-coding RNA (618 nucleotides) under Hevea brasiliensis (rubber tree). Lineage: Eukaryota; Viridiplantae; Streptophyta; Magnoliopsida; Malpighiales; Euphorbiaceae. The record is from RNAcentral.
AGAGCUUUACAGAUUGGAGACUUUCCCAACCCAGAUCGUGGGAUGGCAUAAUCAAUGAUUGCUGUCAGAUCACCCAAAACCAAGCUACAAUUGAUCCAGCAGCCAGACCAACAACUAGGAACAAAACAAUUACAAUCCCAGCAGUCUCUGCAUGCUGUAUUGGGACAACUUUGGGAGCCAAAAUCAUUAGAACACUUGUCAAGUAGCCAUUAGUAAGACCCAAAAGACAAGUCAGGAUUGUUACUGGGAUCUCGGUUCGAAAGAAUUUAGGACCAUGCAAGCAGCCGAAGAACAAAGGGAAAAAGAGCAGUCUUGCAAAACAACCACCAAUGGCAAGUUUGGCAUUCUCCAUCAUAUAGACUGCAGUCAAAGACUUGCCAACCAGAUCAAACACAUUGUAGCCGGUAAUGAGAAGGAUUGCAUACCAGUCCUUGAGAGUCUCAGAGUGCACAUCCUCUGUUAUAUAGCCCGGAAAUAUCGACAACGUCACAAUAUAAAUGAGCAGGAUCCCAAUCCCAUACCAUUUGACACUCCCAAUAAUCUCCAACAAGGUUGAUCUCCACUGAGCCCCAGUUAGGGACCCUUUCUCCUUCUUUUCCUCAUUCACAGCCUGAAUUU